Molecule: ribosomal RNA, 119 nt
Filed under: Lepisosteus oculatus (spotted gar)
Lineage: Eukaryota; Metazoa; Chordata; Actinopteri; Semionotiformes; Lepisosteidae
Source: RNAcentral
GCCAGCAGCUAUAUCACUCUGCAACUCACAACUGGCAACCCACUGAAGCUAAGCAGGUGUGAGCCUGGCCAGUACCUGGAUCGGAGACCUCCUGGGAAAAACUAAGGUUGCUGCAGGAA